UAACUCAGUUGAUAGAGUGCUUGCCUCGCAUGCAUAAGGCCCUGGGUUCAAUCCCCAG
This 58-nucleotide transfer RNA is filed under the name Ictidomys tridecemlineatus (thirteen-lined ground squirrel). RNAcentral's name for it is "Spermophilus tridecemlineatus (thirteen-lined ground squirrel) tRNA". It matches the Rfam family "tRNA", at positions 8 to 63 of the family's 71-position model. From Rfam's summary of the family: Transfer RNA (tRNA) molecules are approximately 80 nucleotides in length. Their secondary structure includes four short double-helical elements and three loops (D, anti-codon, and T loops). Lineage: Eukaryota; Metazoa; Chordata; Mammalia; Rodentia; Sciuridae. The record is from Rfam by way of RNAcentral.